RNAcentral lists this ribosomal RNA (468 nucleotides) under uncultured bacterium. RNAcentral describes it as "partial 16S ribosomal RNA". It matches the Rfam family "Bacterial small subunit ribosomal RNA", at positions 28 to 507 of the family's 1533-position model. The record is from RNAcentral.
GACGAACGCUGGCGGCGUGCUUAACACAUGCAAGUCGAACGGAACGGCCCUGCUUUUUUGGGGUGCUCGAGUGGCGAACGGGUGAUUAACACGUGAGUAACCUGCCCUUGACUUUGGGAUCACUUCAGGAAACUGGCGCUAAUACCGGAUAGGAGCUCCUGCUGCAUGGUGGGGGUUGGAAAGUUUCGGCGGUUGGGGAUGGACUCGCGGCUUAUCAGGUUGUUGGUGGGGUAGUGGCUUACCAAGGCAUUGACGGGUCGCCGGCCUGAGAGGGUGACCGGGCACAGUGGGAGUGAGAAACGGCCCAGACACAUACGGGAGGCAGAAGUGGGGAAUAGUGUACAAAGGGCGGAAGCAUGAUGCAGCAACGCGGCGUGCGGGAUGACGGCCGUCGGGUUGUAAACCGCUUUCGCCAGUGACGAAGCGUGAGUGACGGUAAUGGGUAAAGAAGCACCGGCAAACUACGUG